CCUACGGGGGUCAGCAGUGGGGGAUAUUGGACAAUGGGGGAAACCCUGAUCCAGCGACGCCGCGUGAGUGAAGAAGUAUUUCGGUAUGUAAAGCUCUAUCAGCAGGGAAGAAAGAAAGGACGGUACCUGAGUAAGAAGCCCCGGCUAACUACGGGCCAGCAGCCGCGGGUAUACGAAGGGGGCAAGCGUUAUCCGGAAUUACGGGGUGUAAAGGGAUCGUAGACGGUAAUGGAAGUCUGGAGGGAAAGGCGGGGGGCCAACCCCCGGACUGCUCUGGAAACUGUGGAACUGGAGUGCAGGAGAGGCAGGCGGAAUGCGUAGUGUAGCGGUGAAAUGCGUAGAUAUUAGGAGGAACACCAGUGGCGAAGGCGGCCUGCUGGACUCUAACUGACGUUGAGGCUCGAAAGCGUGGGGAGCAAACAGGAUUAGAUACCCGAGUAGUC
RNAcentral lists this ribosomal RNA (443 nucleotides) under uncultured bacterium. RNAcentral describes it as "partial 16S ribosomal RNA". It matches the Rfam family "Bacterial small subunit ribosomal RNA", at positions 338 to 795 of the family's 1533-position model. The record is from RNAcentral.